UUUAAGUUCAUCUUGUUCUCUGUUCAGUUGAAGUUGAAGUGCCACACUGGUCCGGACUGAGAGCCACCAUAUUAUUGUCCCUAACGUGUCGCUUUGAGAUUGGUCAGGUUUUUUUUUUGCUGGAUUGUUCCUGAGGUUGGAUUCCUCCUGUGAUUUUGAUGGCGAACCUUCUCACCUGGACUUAGAAAGAACUGGAUUCCUGGAUUCCUUCUUUUCCAUUUGGAGUCCUGCUGCACCCCGCGGUGUUGUAGGCCUGUACCUCCCACAUCUUCACACACAAUUGGUUAUGAGUGAGACCACUGACUGACAUUUUUCAUUUAUUGUUUAAUCCUAGAAUUUCUGACCUUACCUUUUGGACCAGUUUUUAUUUGAAACUUUAUAACCAACUGCUGUGUAGGAAAUUCUCCUCAUGUGAACGGUGUUGAGUUGAACCUAAUUGGAACUGAAAUUGAUUAGUCUGUUGCCUAUUACGAUUUAGAAUUCAGAUUACCAGGGUGCACCCAAAAUAUUCAAAACUGAGAACUAGCACUUGGCCAAGUAUUUGUAUUAUUUUUUGUAUUUUAUUGUGUGUAAUUUUAUUUUCAUAAU
This is a long non-coding RNA of Poecilia latipinna (sailfin molly), 588 nucleotides long. RefSeq lists it as uncharacterized. The transcript has 2 exons. NCBI's taxonomy places the organism in Eukaryota, Metazoa, Chordata, Actinopteri, Cyprinodontiformes, Poeciliidae. The record is from RefSeq and is a predicted model, not a curated record.